AGUUUAAUAAUUUAAAAAAAAUAAUAAAUUGCAAAUUUAUUUAUGCUUAAAAGCUUAAACUU
This 62-nucleotide transfer RNA is filed under the name Apocrypta bakeri. Its description in RNAcentral is "tRNA-Cys". Lineage: Eukaryota; Metazoa; Arthropoda; Insecta; Hymenoptera; Pteromalidae. The record is from RNAcentral.